UACGUAGGGUGCAAGCGUUGUCCGGAAUUAUUGGGCGUAAAGAGCUCGUAGGCGGCUUGUCACGUCGACUGUGAAAACCCGGGGCUCAACUCCGGGCCUGCAGUCGAUACGGGCUGGCUUGAGUGCGGUAGGGGAGACUGGAAUUCCUGGUGUAGCGGUGAAAUGCGUAGAUAUCAGGAGGAACACCGGUGGCGAAGGCGCACAUCUGGCCCGAUACUGACGCUGAGGCGCGAAAGCUAGGGGAGCAAACGGG
This 253-nucleotide ribosomal RNA is filed under the name uncultured bacterium. RNAcentral describes it as "partial 16S ribosomal RNA". It matches the Rfam family "Bacterial small subunit ribosomal RNA", at positions 524 to 776 of the family's 1533-position model. The record is from RNAcentral.